RNAcentral lists this ribosomal RNA (301 nucleotides) under uncultured bacterium. RNAcentral describes it as "partial 16S ribosomal RNA". It matches the Rfam family "Bacterial small subunit ribosomal RNA", at positions 509 to 807 of the family's 1533-position model. The record is from RNAcentral.
CAGUCGCCGCGGUAAUACGUAGGUGGCAAGCGUUGUCCGGAAUUAUUGGGCGUAAAGGGCUCGCAGGCGGUUUCUUAAGUCUGAUGUGAAAGCCCCCGGCUCAACCGGGGAGGGUCAUUGGAAACUGGGAAACUUGAGUGCAGAAGAGGAGAGUGGAAUUCCACGUGUAGCGGUGAAAUGCGUAGAGAUGUGGAGGAACACCAGUGGCGAAGGCGACUCUCUGGUCUGUAACUGACGCUGAGGUGCGAAAGCGUGGGGAGCAAACAGGAUUAGAUACCCCCGUAGUCCCUGUCUCUUAUAC